CCGGCGCGGCGGCUGGCGCGGCGGCUUCCGCUCCUGACGGCGGCGAGGACUCUGGCAGCGCCUGGGGCUCCGGCGGGUCUGCGGGCUGCGGGCCGCGAUGCUGAAGGCCAAGAUCCUCUUCGUGGGGCCCUGCGAGAGUGGAAAAACCGUUUUGGCCAACUUCCUGACAGAAUCUUCUGACAUCACCGAAUACAACCCAACCCAAGGAGUGAGGAUCCUGGAAUUUGAGAACCCACACGUUACCAGCAACGACAAAAGCACGGGGUGUGAAUUUGAGCUCUGGGACUGUGGUGGCGAUCCAAAGUUCGAGUCUUGCUGGCCAGCCCUGAUGAAGGACUCUCACGGGGUGGUGAUCGUCUUCAAUGCUGACAUCCCAAGCCACCUGAAGGAAAUUGAGAUGUGGUAUUCCUGCUUCGUCCAGCAGCAGUUUUUACAGGAUACUCAAUGUCUGUUAAUUGCACACCACAAACCAGGCUCUGGAAGUGACAAAGGAAACCUGGCUUUGGCGCCACCCUUGAACAAGCUGAAGCUGGUGCACUCAAAUCUUGAGGAUGACCCAGAAGAGAUCAGAAUGGAGUUCAUAAAGUAUUUAAGAAGCAUAAUCAACUCAGUGUCUGAGAGCAGAGACCGGGAGGAGAUGUCAAUUAUCACCUAACCGGCCUUCACCUAGACGCUUCCGCAUCCCAAAUGAAGUCAAUUUCAGUGCAGAUCUGAAAUCCAUCCACCUACUAAGGUUCUCAUCUCCCUUUGGCUGUAGAAGACAUUUUCCUUAUUUGGCCAAAGAUGUGACAAGGCACAUGAAAGCCACAGAAGCAUGAAACAGCUCAGAAGUGUGGGAAACUCGGUAGUGGAUCGUCACUCAAGGCUGUGUGGAGGAGGGAGUGUCUGAGUGAGUGAGGCGGAGUGUGUGGAGGAGGGGACUGGAGGUGGGUGGGUGUGCGUGUGGGUGAGGAGAGAGGACCAGGGGUCAGAUGGUGAAGGGCUUCUUACACCCGGCCAAGGUGUCAGGGUUUGAGCUGCCACUGAAGGAUGUUCACUGCAGGUUGAUGUGGUCGGAUCUCCAUGGUAGAAAAGCCCCUCUGACCGCAGUGUGAGGGCUGGAUCGGAAGGAGGACGAGUGUAGAGGUGGCGGCUGUCAUUCCUUGGUUUGUGGCCCCAUCACUCCAGUCUUCGCGGCCAGCAUCUUCAAAUCUCUCUCUGCUCCAUCUUCACAUUGCCUUCACCUCUGUGUAUCUGACUCAAAUCUCCCUCUACUUCAUUCUUGUAAGGAUACUUAUAAUUGCAUUUAGGGCCCAGGAUAAUCUCCCCAUCUAAAGAUCCUUAAUUUAGUCACAUGUGCAAAGACGCUUUUUCCAAGCAAAGUAUCAUUUACAGGAUGUGCACGUUACCGGGAGUGGGGCCUGAUGUCUUUGCAGGCCAUUAUUCAGCCUACCACAGAUGCUGGUCACUGAGGCGUUAGUAGAAGAGGAGGAGCAGGUUUUAGGGGGGUGACAAAUGACUAGUUCAAGGUGACUCAGCAAGUUAGGGACAGGGACAGAACUGGAUCCCAUGCCCCCACUCUUUCCACUGUCUUGUGUAACUGGGCAGAUGAGUCUACAAGUGGACCUGGCUAAGAGUCUCACCCUUUGAGACUGAACCUAGUAAAGCAAUAACAACCACAGCAACAACAGCAGGGCAAAUAACCAUUUUUGGAGCUAAACCACCCAGAAAAUGGUUUGCAAGUAUGUUGCAGAUAUAUAUAGCAUCAUAUUUCUUGAAACCAAUCAAAUGACCAAGUAGUAUUCUGAAGCUCUGUUGUAAAGAAAAUUACAACUUAUAUUGUAACCUGAAUGUCCGUAUCUCAAAAUUGUUCAGGAAAGCUCCUGGAGAUCAUUAUACAUUUGCUGGAAUACCAGAAGACCCUUAUGUCCAAAGUGUAGGCUAAGUUGCUAUAACAACAGAUGGAGCUUUGCUGGUAACUGAGAACAUAUAAGAGUUAAUAAAAGAGCAGUGCUCCUGAUACCCAUUGAAAAGGUAACUGCAUUGGUACCACUUAAGAAAAUCAUUCUGGGGCUUCCCUGGUGGCGCAGUGGUUGAGAAUCUGCCUGCUAAUGCAGGGGACACGGGCUCGAGCCCUGGUCUGGGAAGAUCCCACAUGCCAAGGAGCAACUGGGCCCGUGAGCCACAACUACUGAGCCUGCGCAUCUGGAGCUUGUGCUCCGCAACAAGAGAGGCCGCGAUAGUGAGAGGCCCGCGCACCGCGAUGAAGAGUGGCCCCCGCUUGCCGCAACUAGAGAAAGCCCUUGCACAGAAACGAAGACCCAACACAGCCAAAAAUAAAUAAAUAAAUAAAUAAAUAAUAAAAAUAAAGGAAUUCCUUUUAAAAAAAAAAAAGAAAAUCAUUCUGAACUGUGGCCCUUCUAGAUCUUGACUUCAGCCUUCCCCACCUGAUUCCUGAGAACUACAUGAAUAUCCUGGCCUUGGCUGAUGCUUUUUCAACAAACGUACUCUUUCCUCAGGCAAGAAAUGAAGGAUUCUACAUUUUAAAAACCAAAGCCAAAGAAAUUAAAUAAAUGAGGAAGAUGGAAACUCUGCUUUUGAAUGUUAAGAGAUUACGUAUUUUUGACUGUGACUUCUAAAUGGCUUUAUCAGUUAAAUAAUUCUCUAUGUUUAUGAUCUGGGCCAUUCUUCCUACCGAAGUUAAAAGCUAAUGGAAAUGUUCUGUCUGCCAAGUAUUCCCACUUCACAAGGAAAGUUUCUUGGUGCUUUGAUGUGGGCAACACCUCAUCUGUCUUCUUACACGUACAGUUCAUUCCUAUCUGGGCUUUCUGAUAGCCUUUAAAAGUAUGCCUCCUUUCUCUAAAGCCUCAGGCAGAUUCACUCCACGCUUACAGCUCUUUGGAUCAAGUGUAUAGAUCUUAGACUUUCAAAGUGUUGUAUAAAAAAAAAAAAUCUAUUAAGACUGUUUAUAAUCCUACCGGAGUUUUGUGAUAAGUAGUUCAUACAAGAACCAUUGUGUUUUUGUUUUUUGUUUUAAUCUUUUGUGUGACUUUACAAGACCUGGAAAACACCUAGGUGUGAAUUAACCAGAUCAUGUAAUGAAAUAUUUUGUUCAGAGAAAUAAAAUCCUAAUUUUAUCGAAGUAUGAGAAACUUGGUUUCUACUGAUAGAAACCUAUUUCAAGUACUUUUCAAGAAUAUUUUGCAAAUCCAGCUACACUUGGAAUGUAUCACCCUUUUGGGGGGGCAACUGUUAAAAGCAAGAAGUUGUGCUCUGCAUUUUUAAAAAAUGGUGGCAAUGGCUUUAAGAUGUCAAUCACAAAUGAGAUGAACAAUCUAAAGAGAAUGGUUCUUACAUAUGAGGAGACUAGUGGGAGACAGUAGGUGAGAGGUCAAAUAUACAUGCCAGCCGGUUAAUGUGGACUUGGUUCUAUUAGCUGUGUAAGAGCCCUAAGAGAGCAGGGACAAUUACUUUGGUGGCCGUGAGGAGAAUAGAUUUAAGGGAGUGUCUGAAAUACAGCACUGAGGGUUGGCACGAAGAGAAAGGGAGAGAUUCUGUACGCAUUGGGGAGGUAAAUAUUGUGCUUGAGUGGAAAAGAAGGGAGAAGCAGGGAGGAUUCAAUCCCGUAUCCUUACUGUAGGUGCUCGAGGUAGUGGCUGUUAUGACUACAUUUCCCAUGGCCCUUAGGGCAGCGCCAUCUGCAUUUCCCAGAGGGCUGUGCGAUGCUCACGCUGGCCCUGAGCAUUGGUGGAAACAAAGUUAAACAGGAGGGAGUGUACUCUUUAUGUUGCUUUAUAAACAAAUUUCCCAUCCUCAUUCUCUCUCCUAUCCCUCUUCUCUGUCUCCAACUCCUCUGUCCACGGGCUUCAGGGGCCCAAAUACGCCGGGACUGGUCUUCUUGGCAACAACUCGAUGUUACCUUUUCGGUGCCCCGCGCGAGCGUGCCCGGAGGCUUCUGGAAAAUGUAGUUAAGCCUCCCGGCGGCCCAGACCGAACCAAAUGGCUCUGCCUCCUCGGGCCCCAGAAUCAAGGGCUGGGUGGCGGGCGCGCGUGCCCGGCCUGUUUGGAAGCCGUGGGGGUAGAGGCUGUUCUGCAUACGGCCACCCGGAGGCCCAGGCCACGGACAGUCUCAGAGCCGACUAUCCCGGCCCGUCUCCGUGGUAACCGGCUGGCUGCAGAGGGCUGUGGAAAGUGUAGUUGGGCAGGGCCGGCCCGUGCGCAAGGUCUCUGCCUUUACAGCUCGCUGCCGCGGUCAGAGCGAUUUUCCGGCGUCCGGGCGAGCUCCUGCCGUUUUAUCUCGACCUCCUAGCACCCCGACAGGUGGGCGGCCGCCCAGAAAGGUAGGGUGUCGGCCCGGCCUGCCCCCACCGGCGCCGCUCGGUAGGGUCAAGGCGAGGGUUCCCUGGGAGUAAGUUUGACUGCGGUUCGCGUAGACCCACACAGUGGAUCCUAGAGAUGAGAUGGGGAUCCGAGUGAAUCAGAGUGGAGCCUUUAGAGAGCAUCUAGUCCAAUCCUCUUCUGUUAAAGAAGCGGGUACUGAAGCCCAGAGAGAGUCAGUGAUUUGCCCCAGAUCUGCUCACGCCUUUAUUUCCAGCACAAAACACAGUGCCUGGCACAGAACUGGUGCUCGAGCAUUGUGUCAUUCCGUUCUAAGGACAAACUGUUGAAAUACUUCAACAAAUUACUAGAUUUAAAAAUAUAUAUUUUUUAAGAGGGAAGUGGACCUGAAGAGACUAUCAACCAAAUGCAACCUGUAGACCUUAUUUGGAUUAUGAUUCUAACAACCAACCAACUGUGAAAUUUUUUAAAAUCAGGGAAAUGUGAACAUGUAUGAUAUUAAGGAAUUACUGUUUAAAAUUUUUAGUUGUGAUAAUGAUAUUGGGGUUAUGCUUUAAAAAGGAAAAGCGUUUUAGAGACACAUACUGCCGAUUUUAUGGGUGAAAUGAUGUCUGAGAUUUGCUUGAAAAAUAUCCAUUGUGGUGGGAGAGGGGAGAGCAGAUGAAAGGAGAUUGGCUGGGUGUCUACUGGAGGUGGGGAUGGGUACAGGAGAUCACUAAACUAUUCUGUUACCAUACAUAUUCCCCCAAAACGUCAAGUGUAAUUUAAUUAUCUGCUAGAGAUACAUACUGAGUUACCGAUCAGAAAAAAAAUAUACUGUCUGAGAUUUACUUUAAAAUACUCCACAGACACAUACACACACAAAAUGUGGUGAGGUGUGGUGGAAACAGGAAUGGCAGUAAAUGAAUAGCUAUGAAGGUUAGGUGAUGGGAACAUGAGAGUUCGUUGUAUUAUUAUAUUCUCUUUAGUGGGGUUGAAAAUUUCUAUAAUGAAGGGGUUUUAUUUGAUUUUUUAAAAAACAUAUUUUACGUAUUUCAGAAGGUUUCUGAAAUUAAGCUCAUGAGGAGUUUCUUUGCAAUGUAACCCUCCCACAGCACAAGUGAGCCUCCUUGGGAACUUCUCCAGUCAAGAAUGACCCUAGCAAUGAUGGGGGCUGUGUCCUUGGCCCUCCAGAUCCAGUCCCUUAGACCAGCAUCAGGGAACUUCCUAGAGGGGAGGCCGAGGAGCUGCCCCGCCCCAGAGAAGAGUUUCAAGCAGGAGAGAGAAGAGAGGAGUUGGGAAGGUGACCAGAGUGGCCAGAACUGCCGGCCAGGUGAGCUGCUUGUCUCCAGCCAGAAAAGUUGUCCAGGCAGAGACCCCAUGGAUGGAACACGCGUGGCUGUAGUUUCUGAGCAGACCCAGCCCUCAUUACAAGCCAGAGACCACGCAGAAGAGAACCCUCCAGUGUGAGCGUGUGGAAUACACUUCCAGGUCACCCAGAACCUGGCGGCUGGGGCCACUGCGAGACCAGGUCAGGAGAGUGCUACUCUGAUGGGAGAAGGAUGAGCACAUGCGAGAAAGGCAGAGGGGCAGGGACCCCGAGGCUGGGUGCGUGUGAGCUGAAGGACGCAGCUAGAGAGAAACGGCCAGGAGGGCAGCCUCCAGGAAGCCUGGUCCCCAGCACGGACCUUCUCAGCGUGGCUCGUGCUCCACAGGUGUGAAAUGCCCAGGGCUGCCCGGGCAGCAGCUUCUCACCAAGCCACUCAGCUCUCGCACUAGCCACCUGGCCUCCACUU
Molecule: RNA transcript, 6092 nt
Organism: Balaenoptera acutorostrata (minke whale)
Lineage: Eukaryota; Metazoa; Chordata; Mammalia; Artiodactyla; Balaenopteridae
Gene: IFT22
Gene name: intraflagellar transport 22
Exons: 6
Source: RefSeq, a predicted model, not a curated record